AAUCUGCCCUCGAGUCUGGGAUAACCAGGGGAAACCCUGGCUAAUACCGGAUACGUCCAAGGGGUCUUCGGCCCCCCUGGAGAAAGGUGGCCUCUGUUUCAAGCUGCCGCUCGUGGAUGAGCCCGCGGACCAUUAGCUUGUUGGUGAGGUAACGGCUCACCAAGGCAAUGAUGGUUAGCUGGUCUGAGAGGAUGAUCAGCCACACUGGGACUGACACACGGCCCAG
RNAcentral lists this ribosomal RNA (226 nucleotides) under uncultured bacterium. Its description in RNAcentral is "partial 16S ribosomal RNA". It matches the Rfam family "Bacterial small subunit ribosomal RNA", at positions 123 to 334 of the family's 1533-position model. The record is from RNAcentral.